CCAGUUGGGUUCCGACACCGUUCCUUGAGGUUUGAAACUGGGACCAGUUGGGCUCCAUCACCAUUCCUUGAGGUUUUCCAGAGGAAAACCAGUACUAGCACCUGGGCAGAGGAACUGGGACCAGUUGGGCUUGAGGUUUGGAACUGGGACCAGUUGGGCUCCGACACCGUUCCUUGAGGUUUGGAACUGGGACCAGUUGGGGGCUCCAACACCGUUCCUUGAGGUUUGGAACUGGGACCAGUUGAGCUCCAGCACCAUUCCUUGAGGUUUUCCAGGUGAAAACCAGUCCCAGCACUUGGGUUGAGGAACUGGGACCAGGUGGGGGCUCCAACACCAUUCCUUGAGGUUUGGAACUGGGACCAGUUCGGCUCUGACACCAUUC
This 382-nucleotide long non-coding RNA is filed under the name Calidris pugnax (ruff). RNAcentral's name for it is "lncRNA (ENSCPUG00000013038.1)". The record is from RNAcentral. Lineage: Eukaryota; Metazoa; Chordata; Aves; Charadriiformes; Scolopacidae.